RNAcentral lists this long non-coding RNA (272 nucleotides) under Gossypium raimondii (Peruvian cotton). RNAcentral's name for it is "long non-coding RNA (GRAI_LNC010307)". Lineage: Eukaryota; Viridiplantae; Streptophyta; Magnoliopsida; Malvales; Malvaceae. The record is from RNAcentral.
AGAAAUUGGUGCGGCGCUGACGUGGGAAGAAGUGUCGGGGCACAGGUUAGAUUAGGGUUUCUAGUUCUGAACAGCUUAGGUGUUUGGGACAUUUGGGCCGUUAGGUUUUUUUUAUUUGGUCUUUUGGGUUUGUAAUUUUGGGCCUGUAAUUUGGGCAAGUAUUGUAACUAGACUUUGGACUUUAAUAUUUUGUUUUAUUUAUUUUAUUUUUGGUUUUUUUUUGCUUGGUUUGGGCCCAGGCAAAAUUGGGCUUUCACAUAAUCAAUUAUUUC